Molecule: ribosomal RNA, 472 nt
Filed under: uncultured eukaryote
Lineage: Eukaryota
Description: bacterial SSU rRNA
Rfam family: Eukaryotic small subunit ribosomal RNA
Source: RNAcentral
GUUAAAGUUGCUGCAGUUAAAAAGCUCGUAGUUGAACGUUCGGGUUCCGCGGGACGGGUCCGCCCCGCGAGGGACGGCGCCGCCCCGGGGCUCGUGAUAUCUCAUCUCGCCGCCCGUCGCGAGGCGGACGGAGGGAUGGAUGAGGUUACCUGGAAAAAAUCGGGGCGAUCUAGGCGGGCGAACCUCGCCAACGAACGAUCGGACAUGGGAUAACGGAAGAGGGCUCGGCUCGACUUCGUCGGUUCCUCGGGGCCGAGGCACGUACGGUGAAUAGGGACGGUCGGGGCCGCCCGUACCGGGUCGUGAGAGGUGAAAUUCUAGGAUCGACCCGAGACGAACCGCCGCGAAAGCAUUCGGCAAGGACGCUUUCAUUAAUCAAGAACGAAAGUCGGGGGAUCGAAGACGAUCAGAUACCGUCGUAGUCCCGACCGUAAACGAUGCCGACCGAGGGCCCCGGAGGAGUUACGUACGA